AUGACCCCAUCUGCUCACUCUGGAAGUGUCAGCCGAAGACUGCUGCACAUCUUCGCUCACUGCUCCUUCUCGGCUGAGGUGUGGAGAUUAGCCUUUGCUACUUUCAACUUCCCCCUGAACCUGAUCCCCAGCGUGAUGAUGCCGUCUUUCAGGAAGUGGUGGGAGCAAGGUUAUGCUGUCUUGGCCUCAAACGAGUCUGAACAGAAAUGCUCUGCUCCGAUUACCCUGGUUUGUUGGUUCAUUUGGACUGCGCGGAUCUUUGAUGGGGUGGCCUGCACUGCUGCUCGGGUAAUGUGCAAGAUUGAGGAAGAACUGUCGGAAUGGGGAAGCGCCCGGAUCAGGGAUGGCAUGGCAUCUUUGACACAUGAAAUUGGUGUUGCAUUUUCUCUGUCUUCUUAA
RNAcentral lists this ribosomal RNA (399 nucleotides) under Triticum aestivum (bread wheat). Its description in RNAcentral is "partial small subunit ribosomal RNA". The record is from RNAcentral. Lineage: Eukaryota; Viridiplantae; Streptophyta; Magnoliopsida; Poales; Poaceae.